GAUGAACGCUGGCGGCGUGCCUAAUACAUGCAAGUCGAGCGAACAGACCAGCAUCUUGCUGUUCUUAGGUUAGCCGCGGACGGGUAAGUAACACGUGGAUAACCUAUCUAUAAGACUGAGAUAACUUCGGGAACCCGGAGCUAAUAUCGGAUAAUAUAUUGAACCGCAUGGUUCAAUAUUGAGAGGCGGACUUUCUGUCACUGAUAGGUGGAUCUGCGCCGCAGUACCUUGUUGGUAAUGGAACGGUUUACCACUGCAACGAUGCCUAGCCGACGCCAGAGGGUGAUCGGCCACACUGGAACUGGGACAGGGUCACGACUCCUACGGGAGGCAGCAGUAGGGAUUCGUACGCAAUGGGCGAAAGCCUGACGGAGCAACGCCGAGUGAGUGAUGAAGGUCUUCGGAUCGUAAAACUCUGUUAUUAGGGAAGAACAAAUGUGUAAGUAACUAUGCACGUCUUGACGGUACCUAAUCAGAAAGCCCCGGCUAACUACGUG
RNAcentral lists this ribosomal RNA (497 nucleotides) under uncultured bacterium. RNAcentral's name for it is "partial 16S ribosomal RNA". It matches the Rfam family "Bacterial small subunit ribosomal RNA", at positions 28 to 507 of the family's 1533-position model. The record is from RNAcentral.